UACGGAGGAUGCAAGCGUUAUCCGGAAUGAUUAGGCGUAAAGCGUCCGCAGGUGGCUAUGUAAGUCUGCUGUUAAAGAGUGAGGCUCAACCUCAUAAGAGCAGUGGAAACUACAUGGCUAGAGUGCGUUCGGGGCAGAGGGAAUUCCUGGUGUAGCGGUGAAAUGCGUAGAGAUCAGGAAGAACACCGGUGGCGAAAGCGCUCUGCUAGGCCGCAACUGACACUCAUGGACGAAAGCUAGGGGAGCGAAUGGG
RNAcentral lists this ribosomal RNA (253 nucleotides) under uncultured bacterium. RNAcentral's name for it is "partial 16S ribosomal RNA". It matches the Rfam family "Bacterial small subunit ribosomal RNA", at positions 524 to 776 of the family's 1533-position model. The record is from RNAcentral.